AGUUAAUUUAUGGGCUGGGGAGCACUAAUGAAUUGAUGCAUAUUUUGUCCAGUGUGAAGUCCUUUGUGAAUGAGCCACAUUUUUUACUCAUUCAAGUCCCUACAGCAUAAUCACAUAGAUUAACUCACUUGGAUCGUUAAUUGUUACACUGUAAGAACUCCACAAACUUGAUCAGAGAGAUUCCACUUAUUUCAAAGUUACUGAGGCCAGAACAGUUCUCCCUCAUCCCUUCAAGUGAGUUUGUUUCAUAUAUGUGUAAUCUAAUUAGAUUGUUUGUCACAUUCUCCAUUCCAUCUUGGAGCCCUGUGACCUCUUAUUUUUUAAUUUGCAUAUGUUAAGCUUCACUCUUUGUGCUAUAAAGUUCUUUUAGUUUUGAAAAUUGCAUUGUGUCAUGUAUCCACCCUUACUGUUUUAUACAGAAGAGGUUUGCUACCCAAAAAUAUCCCCUGAGUUUCCCCUAUAUAACCCUCUAUCCCCAAACCCUGGUACAGUGAUCAGUGGAUCAGUUUUCUACCUUACAUUUUUUUUUUUUUUUUGCCAGAUUGCCAUAUAGUUGGAAUCAUAUAGUAUGUAGUUUUUUUCAGUCUGGCUUCUUUCACUUAGCAACACACAUUUAAGAUUAACCCAUGUCUCUGUAUGGCUUGAGAGCACAUUCCUUAUCACUGGAUAGUUGUCUUAGUAUGUUAACACUGCUGUAAUGAAAUGUCAUUAACUGGGUGACUUAUACACAACAGAAAUUUUUUUCUCAAAGUUCUGGUGUCUGGAAAUUUUAAGAUCAAGGUGCCAGCAGAUUCGAUUUCUUGCAAGUGUCUGCUUCCUAGAUGGCCAUCUUUUCAUUAGAACCUCACAUGGCAGAAGGAGCAAGGAGCUCUCUCAGACCUCUUUUAUAAGUGCAUCAGUCCUAUUCUUAAGAGCUUCAUUUUCAUGACCUAAUUACCUUUCAAAGGCCCCAUCUUCUAAUACCAUCACUUUGGGGUUAGGAUUUCAACAUAUGACUUUUGUGCAGACACAAACAUUUGAAUGACAGCAAUAGUAUUCCAUUGUAUGGAUAUAUAAAAAUUGUUUAUCCAUUCCCUUAUUGAAGGUCCC
Molecule: long non-coding RNA, 1089 nt
Filed under: Homo sapiens (human)
Lineage: Eukaryota; Metazoa; Chordata; Mammalia; Primates; Hominidae
Description: HSALNT0042436
Source: RNAcentral